GGGCCUAUAGCUCAAUGGUUAGAGCAGUCGGCUCAUAACCGAUUGGUUGGGGGUUCAAGUCCCUCUGGGCCCACCA
This 76-nucleotide transfer RNA is filed under the name Pseudomonadota bacterium. RNAcentral describes it as "Proteobacteria bacterium tRNA-Ile". It matches the Rfam family "tRNA". From Rfam's summary of the family: Transfer RNA (tRNA) molecules are approximately 80 nucleotides in length. Their secondary structure includes four short double-helical elements and three loops (D, anti-codon, and T loops). The record is from RNAcentral. Lineage: Bacteria; Pseudomonadati; Pseudomonadota. RNAcentral also lists the same sequence under 1 other name.